AUCGACUUGGGGUAGCCUGGUUCCACUGUCAGCUUCUGGUUGUCAAACUUCCAGUAGUCCUUUCCCUUGUAGAAGUAGGUAUAAACUAGGAGGAGCACCAAAGAGAAAAAAUGUCAGGUGCAAGCUUUCAUCUGUCACUACCACUCGAGUUGAAGGUUACAGAAUGUCAAGACAGUAAAGGUUCUUUGAUAUAAAGGUUGUGGCACAUUAAAACCACAGGAGCUUUUCAUGCUGCUAAAAGAAGGACUUGAGGCCAGCCAGUUGCAUCACUUCAGCUUGUCAUCAGUUGUCAGAUCUCUCAUAGGCUGCAUCAAUGCGGGGUGGGAGACCCUUCCAGAACUGGUCAAUGAGCAUGGGGUAGCCCUCCUGAACCUUGUUAUUCCGCAAACGCCAGAACCAGCGAUCCUGUCAGAAGAAAAUGAUAUAGUUCAAAAGUGAUUUUUAUCCAGUUCAACAGAAAAUAAUAAAAAGCCAAAUGGAUACAUUUGAGAAAUGAACAGACACGGAGCAAGAAAGGAG
Long non-coding RNA from Electrophorus electricus (electric eel), 519 nucleotides. RefSeq lists it as uncharacterized. The record is from RefSeq and is a predicted model, not a curated record. NCBI's taxonomy places the organism in Eukaryota, Metazoa, Chordata, Actinopteri, Gymnotiformes, Gymnotidae.